CUCACUAGCCGUGAGAUCAUGACCUGAGCUGAAGUCGGACGCUUAACCGACUGAGCCACCCAGGCGCCCCAAAAAUUUUACAGUUUAAAUUCCUACUCACAGCUUAGUGUUUUGGCCUCCCAUCUCACCAUAAUUGGAAAAAGAGUUAGAAUAUGAAAUGAAAGCAAAAUGACUGAAACAAUCUAUAGAUAUAAUUGGAAAUUAUCUAUUUAGGGAUGAAGACGUUUCUACUCGGAAUUAAGACAUUUCUACUUGUUACUAUUUAUGUAUUCAAAAUUAAUUAAGGAUGCAAGAGUCUCUUCCCAGCUAGACUCUGAGCACCUUCGGAACAGCAACUAUCUCAGUCGGUUUGGUUAGCCCUCGCCUACUCAGCAGAUGAAACACAUAAAUUACUAAGUCUGUAUUUGUUUAAUUGUAGAAUAAAAUUGACUUAUAAAGUGUACUUUUCCUCUAAUUUAAAAUCCUUUUAUUCUUGCAUAUAAUUUAUCUCAUUAUAUAGCAUAGAUGUUAAUUACCAUGUUACAUAAUGUAUCAUUUUGGGGAAAAAAAAGUUAGGAAAGCUGUCUGGUCAAGAUUCGUGCGUUGAAAAUUUGCAAAGUUUCCUUGUACACAAUCCACCUACCAGUUUUUUUUUCCUUUAUCACUUGGUAGGAAUAGGAGGAUUUUUAUUGUUAAUUUUCAUUAAGGAAGAUGGUUAAUCUAAAUGGGAAAUAGGUAUUAUAAUAUAAACACAAUCUCCUCCAACCCAGAAAUCCUCUCCACAUAGUUGAGAAGGAAGAAGCUUUACUAUUGAAUAAGCAUUAAAACAGAAUGUGAUGUGUAUCUCAGGAGAUCAACUAACAGAUUGCACAGACAGAGCAUCCCCCACCCCCAAACCUUUUAUAUAACCAAGCAGGUACAACCCAUUACUUACAUGUUCUCAAAAUAAAAAAUAACUAGUUCUCAAAUAAGCGGUCUUGACAACACCAUUUGUCACAUACAGUUCAUCCCAACCUUACUUAGAAAUUGGGGUGACCAUCUGUGCUGUGUUUAUCCAGAGGAAAACCAAACUUUUCAUGUCUUUAUAACAUGAGACAGUUUUGCAACUGGAGCAAGCUGCACAGGGAAGUGACCCUCCCACAGAAAGUGGGAGAUAGUGGCGUUACCUUCCUUGAUGUUUACAUUUCAAACAGAUGGCUCUGAGUCCUUGAGAAAGAGUUUCCCAGAUUAUAAAGCUGACAAAAUGUUGAUCUAGUCUUCAAAGGGAUUUACAUACAUUUCAAAGGAGAUAGUACUUAAAGUUAUAAUUUUUCUAAGUAAAUGCUCAAAGAAAAAGGAGGACAGGGAAAUCUCUUCAUUUAUUUGCAAGAGAGAACAUUAAGCCUCCUGUAUUUCAUUUGUAUUUGUCCCUACAGUACCUACUAUCUGGCUACUUCAUGCAGUCCUUUAUGGGAGAUGAGUGGGGUGGCGAAGAGAGGGAGGGAGCACUGCUCUCAUCGCUCUCAUACCCUGCUUUGUUUGUCAUUUUCUCCUGUUUCUGAAUGUUAACCUCAGCCCUUGUUGGCCAAGCUGUGACUUGAAGUGACUACUGUCCUGCAAGUGGAAAAGACUCCUUUAAGUUUGUUCUUCCAGAUACUGGCAUGGGGAGAUGUCUGGGAACAGCUUUCUCAACUUCCUCUCCCUUGGUCUCAGGAGAGUCUAUAACAUAUUCCUGUUAAUUUAAACUUAAUAAAUGAAUCACAAAAAUAUAUAGAAUACUGGAUAAGUGGCCGAGUGACAGCAAGCAGGGGCUUUCAACCAAGUAUGGAUAGAGUUCCCAGAAGACUUCAUCAGCAGGAAAGAAGCUCUAAUAAUGUGGAAUAGAAAUACCAGAAGACUCCUAUCAGCACAGCUGAAGACUGACCCUGGAGAUUGAUAUGUCUUCAUGCACUGGAGGCAAUUAGAGCAAACGGAUGAGAAGGGCCUGUUGGUAUUCAGGAGCAACAGUCUCAAGAACCCUGGGGGGGGGCGGGGCACAGCACUUCUGUAGGACUGCUUGACAGUGGAUAGUGCCAUUGGCAGAGGGCAUACAGGCGAAAGAAUUUCCACCAUCACCACCAAAACCACACGCCCAUGUUUGGAUGCUGUAGACCUGAAGUAGCAGGAUAAUUGGAACAUGGAUGGGUGAGAUCCAUUGCACAGGCUUCUUGGUGCAGCUCUAAGCCAAGGGUCAACAGUGGAAAGUUGGAAGUCCAGGGCCUGAACUUAUCCUGUGUCUGAUAUAAAUGAGUCAUCUCACAUCAGCAAGUAAGCACCAUAUUAAUGGUUCAGUCUUAGAAGAUCCCAAGAAAGAAAUACUUGUUUUGUCCAGCAGGAGUGAUCUGAUCUGCUAGAACCAGAUCCGUGCCUAGAUCUGAAACCAUGCCUGGAUCUGGUACCAGAUCCGUGCCUGGUCUCUUGGUGGUACUGGUCUGAAACAUGAAGGCAAAUGCAAGAAGAAACAGUUAAAGAAUUUAAAUAUUCUUUAUCUCUGAUUUAUUCUUAGAGAAGGGCUCCUGAGGAGGAAAAGGAGAGUCAAGGGAUCACUGUUUCUUGUAACAAGCCUUGUACUAGUAUGUUAGUUUUUAAGUUCUAUACAUGUAUUACUUCAAAAAAUAAAAAUUAAAAAAUGAAUAUAUCAAAACAAAACAAAAUAAAGUCAAGUUAUAGUAUAUAGCCUUUUUUAUAA
Molecule: long non-coding RNA, 2686 nt
Organism: Herpailurus yagouaroundi (jaguarundi)
Lineage: Eukaryota; Metazoa; Chordata; Mammalia; Carnivora; Felidae
Exons: 4
Source: RefSeq, a predicted model, not a curated record